AAGGAUCAUUACGAAUAUCGGGGACUGGCUUAGCACAAGGCUUCUUGCACUGUUCUAUACUGGUCCUGUCUGAAUAUUGCCCUGUUUUUUGCGUACUCACUUGUUUCCUCGGCAGGCUUGCCUGUCAGUAGGACCUUUUACACUCUUUGAAAUAGCAGUUAGCAUCAGAAAACUAUAAUAGUUACAACUUUCAACAACGGAUCUCUUGGUUCUG
RNAcentral lists this unclassified non-coding RNA (214 nucleotides) under uncultured fungus. RNAcentral describes it as "partial contains 18S rRNA, ITS1, 5.8S rRNA, ITS2 and 28S rRNA". Lineage: Eukaryota; Fungi. The record is from RNAcentral.